RNA transcript from Arabidopsis thaliana (thale cress), 1037 nucleotides. RefSeq lists it as uncharacterized. The record is from RefSeq. Lineage: Eukaryota; Viridiplantae; Streptophyta; Magnoliopsida; Brassicales; Brassicaceae. The transcript has a single exon.
UUCUCCUUUCCAUAUUCUUUUGUUUUUCAUCAUUUUCAAUUCCUCUUUCACAUCAUAGUCGUUCUCAAUAAUUCUUACAAAAUUAUGAAAAUUCUGAGGUUAUCUCAAAAUUCACAAUCACAAUCUAUGUUUACCCUAAAUUUCCUUUAUUUUUUUAGUUUUGUAUUCUUUUCUCCAUUCUCCAUCAUCAAAUCCAUUUCAUUAUCUGCAACCUCCAUCAAUGAACGACUAUGACCAACAAAAAAAGUAACAUCAUCGAUUUCUCCUUUUCGAGACGAAGAAGAAGGAGAUCCUUACUCUCUGCUACCGAACUCCCUCUUCCCUUAAUCUUCCUCUUUUUCUGGUUCCAUGCUCUUCUCUCUUGUCUUACUUACGGUUUCUGGUUUCGUUGUUUUUUUUUGGUAAAAGGUUUCUUUGGUUUUGAAUCAUAAAGGCCAAUGGUACAUGUGAUUCGUUGAUUCUAGCUUAGGUUUUAGAUUGUAAAUCUUUAAACUUUUUUUUUGUUAUGGGUUCUAGAUUUUAUGAUUUUAUCCUUCAAUUUAAAUUUAUUUUUGUUAGAUCUGUUGAAUUUAUUGCCUUGUUUUUGAAUUGAAAAAUGUUUGGAUGUCAUUUGCGUAGAUGGAAAGUGAUUGGACGCAUAAGGCUGGGUAUGUGGUGGUUAUGCAAGAAGAUUGGUUGAUGUUUAUGAGCUUUUUUUGAAACUUUGGUCCAUGAGGCUGCGGUGGCCGCCGUGAGCUCCAGUGUCUUGUCUGGCAACUCCAUACUUAUGUCGACUCAUGGAUGUCAAGAAAAGUUUACGAGAAAACACAAAAUAUAUAUCCAUUUGUUCGGCGCUAGGUGGAUACACCUUCAUUUGUUGCACUAUAUCCAUUUGGUCGAUGUUUCAUGGAUACAACUCUACUUCUAAAAAUCAUAGAUGAACACGUACUUGCCGAUUGUCAGCUAUAGGAAUCCGUCCAUUACUCUUCGAAGAUAUGUUAUCCAACUAAUGAAGUAUUCUUUUAUUUGAUUUUGGUGAACAAUGUUUAGAUUUGGUG